GAAAUUCGAUAAGUAGUGUGAAUUGCAGAAUUCAGUGAAUCAUCGAAUCUUUGAACGCACAUUGCGCCCUUUGGUAUUCCUUAGGGCAUGCCUGUUCGAGCGUCAUCUAAACCUUCAAGCCCUGCUUGGUGUUGGGUGCCUGUCCCGCCUCCGCGCGCGGACUCACCUCAAAUCCAUUGGCGGCCCCCGCGUCGGCCACGAGCGCAGCAGAAACGCGAACUCGUGAGCCCGUCCGGGCGGCUCCCAGAAGCUACACCCACCCAGUUUGACCUCGGAUCAGGUAGGGAUACCCGCUGAACUUAAGC
This 305-nucleotide unclassified non-coding RNA is filed under the name plant metagenome. RNAcentral's name for it is "partial contains 5.8S ribosomal RNA, internal transcribed spacer 2, and large subunit ribosomal RNA". The stretch from base 1 to 105 matches the Rfam family "5.8S ribosomal RNA", at positions 50 to 154 of the family's 154-position model. The record is from RNAcentral.